GGAAUAUUGGACAAUGGGGGCAACCCUGAUCCAGCAAUGCCGCGUGUGUGAAGAAGGCCUGCGGGUUGUAAAGCACUUUCAGUAGAGAAGAGAAGCUACAGGUUAAUACCCUUGAGUCUUGACGUAACCUACAGAAGAGGCACCGGCUAACCCCGUGCCAGCAGCCGCGGUAAUACGGAGGGUGCAAGCGUUAAUCGGAAUUACUGGGCGUAAAGCGCGCGUAGGCGGUUUUGCAAGUCGGAUGUGAAAGCCCAGGGCUUAACCCUGGAAUUGCAUUCGAUACUGCAUAACUAGAGUAUGGUAGAGGGAAGUGGAAUUUCCGGUGUAGCGGUGAAAUGCGUAGAUAUCGGAAGGAACACCAGUGGCGAAGGCGACUUCCUGGGCCAAUACUGACGCUGAGGUGCGAAAGCGUGGGGAGCAAAC
This 423-nucleotide ribosomal RNA is filed under the name uncultured bacterium. RNAcentral's name for it is "bacterial SSU rRNA". It matches the Rfam family "Bacterial small subunit ribosomal RNA", at positions 358 to 773 of the family's 1533-position model. The record is from RNAcentral.